GGGCACGUAGUAUAAUGGAUAGUACACGAGUCCGCUAAACUCACUAUCUGGGUUCGAUUCCCGGCGUGCCCG
This 72-nucleotide transfer RNA is filed under the name Methanothrix sp. RNAcentral describes it as "tRNA-Ser". It matches the Rfam family "tRNA". From Rfam's summary of the family: Transfer RNA (tRNA) molecules are approximately 80 nucleotides in length. Their secondary structure includes four short double-helical elements and three loops (D, anti-codon, and T loops). The record is from RNAcentral. Lineage: Archaea; Methanobacteriati; Methanobacteriota; Methanomicrobia; Methanotrichales; Methanotrichaceae.